AACGAACGCUGGCGGCAUGCCUAACACAUGCAAGUCGAACGAGACCUCCGGGUCUAGUGGCGCACGGGUGCGUAACGCGUGGGAACCUGCCCUUAGGUUCGGAAUAACUCCCCGAAAGGGGUGCUAAUACCGGAUAAUGUCUUCGGACCAAAGAUUUAUCGCCUUUGGAUGGGCCCGCGUUGGAUUAGCUAGUUGGUAGGGUAAAAGCAUACCAAGGCGACGAUCCAUAACUGGUCUGAGAGGAUGAUCAGCCACACUGGGACUGAGACACGGCCCAGACUCCUACGGGAGGGAGCAGUGGGGAAUAUUGGACAAUGGGCGAAAGCCUGAUCCAGCAAGGCCGCGUGAGUGAUGAAGGCAUUAGGGUUGUAAAGCUCUUUUACCCGGGAUGAUAAUGACAGUACCGGGAGAAUAAGCUCCGGCUAACUCCGUG
RNAcentral lists this ribosomal RNA (433 nucleotides) under uncultured bacterium. Its description in RNAcentral is "partial 16S ribosomal RNA". It matches the Rfam family "Bacterial small subunit ribosomal RNA", at positions 29 to 507 of the family's 1533-position model. The record is from RNAcentral.